Molecule: ribosomal RNA, 584 nt
Filed under: uncultured bacterium
Lineage: Bacteria
Description: partial 16S ribosomal RNA
Rfam family: Bacterial small subunit ribosomal RNA
Source: RNAcentral
UGGGGAAUUUUGGACAAUGGGCGAAAGCCUGAUCCAGCAAUGCCGCGUGUGUGAAGAAGGCCUUCGGGUUGUAAAGCACUUUUGUCCGGAAAGAAAUCCUUGGCUCUAAUACAGUCGGGGGAUGACGGUACCGGAAGAAUAAGCACCGGCUAACUACGUGCCAGCAGCCGCGGUAAUACGUAGGGUGCAAGCGUUAAUCGGAAUUACUGGGCGUAAAGCGUGCGCAGGCGGUUUGCUAAGACCGACGUGAAAUCCCGGGCUCAACCUGGGAACUGCAUUGGUGACUGGCAGGCUAGAGUAUGGCAGAGGGGGGUAGAAUUCCACGUGUAGCAGUGAAAUGCGUAGAGAUGUGGAGGAAUACCGAUGGCGAAGGCAGCCCCCUGGGCCAAUACUGACGCUCAUGCACGAAAGCGUGGGGAGCAAACAGGAUUAGAUACCCUGGUAGUCCACGCCCUAAACGAUGUCAACUAGUUGUUGGGGAUUCAUUUCCUUAGUAACGUAGCUAACGCGUGAAGUUGACCGCCUGGGGAGUACGGUCGCAAGAUUAAAACUCAAAGGAAUUGACGGGGUCAUAGCUGUUUCCU